RNAcentral lists this ribosomal RNA (520 nucleotides) under uncultured bacterium. Its description in RNAcentral is "bacterial SSU rRNA". It matches the Rfam family "Bacterial small subunit ribosomal RNA", at positions 29 to 585 of the family's 1533-position model. The record is from RNAcentral.
AAGAACGCUGGCGGCAUGCCUAACACAUGCAAGUCGAACGGUAUGAUGCUUUCGGGCAUCAGAGAGUGGCGCACGGGUGAGUAACGCGUGGGAACCUGCCCCUGGGUACGGGACAACGUCUGGAAACGGGCGCUAAUACCGUAUACGUCCUUCGGGAGAAAGAUUUAUCGCCCUGGGAGGGGCCCGCGUCCGAUUAGCUUGUUGGUGGGGUAAUGGCCUACCAAGGCGACGAUCGGUAGCUGGUCUGAGAGGAUGAUCAGCCACACUGGGACUGAGACACGGCCCAGACUCCUGCGGGAGGCAGCAGUGGGGAAUAUUGGACAAUGGGGGCAACCCUGAUCCAGCAAUGCCGCGUGUGUGAUGAAGGCCUUAGGGUUGUAAAGCACUUUCACUGGUGAAGAUGAUGACGGUAUCCAGAGAAGAAGCCCCGGCUAACUCCGUGCCAGCAGCCGCGGUAAUACGGAGGGGGCAAGCGUUGUUCGGAAUUACUGGGCGUAAAGGGCGUGCAGGCUGUGAUUUA